RNAcentral lists this ribosomal RNA (538 nucleotides) under Serratia marcescens. Its description in RNAcentral is "bacterial SSU rRNA". It matches the Rfam family "Bacterial small subunit ribosomal RNA", at positions 1 to 529 of the family's 1533-position model. The record is from RNAcentral. Lineage: Bacteria; Pseudomonadati; Pseudomonadota; Gammaproteobacteria; Enterobacterales; Yersiniaceae.
UUUGAGUUUGAUCGUGGCUCAGAUUUAACGCUGGCGGCAGGCUUAACACAGUGCAAGUCGGAGCGGUAGCACAGGGUGAAGCUUGCUCCCUGGGUGACGAGCGGCGGACGGGUGAGUAAUGUCUGGGAAACUGCCUGAUGGAGGGGGAUAACUACUGGAAACGGUAGCUAAUACCGCAUAACGUCGCAAGACCAAAGAGGGGGACCUUCGGGCCUCUUGCCAUCAGAUGUGCCCAGAUGGGAUUAGCUAGUAGGUGGGGUAAUGGCUCACCUAGGCGACGAUCCCUAGCUGGUCUGAGAGGAUGACCAGCCACACUGGAACUGAGACACGGUCCAGACUCCUACGGGAGGCAGCAGUGGGGAAUAUUGCACAAUGGGCGCAAGCCUGAUGCAGCCAUGCCGCGUGUGUGAAGAAGGCCUUCGGGUUGUAAAGCACUUUCAGCGAGGAGGAAGGUGGUGAGCUUAAUACGCUCAUCAAUUGACGUUACUCGCAGAAGAAGCACCGGCUAACUCCGUGCCAGCCGCCGCCGUAACACAAA